ACACAUCACCGCCUACUCGCCGCCUUGGAGCCACCCCUGCAAGGCUGCUACGUCGCCAGCCCACGCACGCCCCCUUCCGCUCGCCCUGACGCCUGCACCCACGAGACCGAUCCAGGGAUUCGUUGCUCAUGCCGGGAACCUCUUAACCAGGAGUCUGGAAUUAGGCGGGAAGGAUCCAAUCCACCUCUCGCCACUGUGGAUUGACGCAUAGGACAUGGGAUGGCUCUGGUCUCCAUCAGCGAAGAAAAUCAGGAAAGCUCUUCUCGAUGUUCCAAGGAACUUACUAAAGACACCAGGGAAGAUAAUAUUUGAGCCGAGGAUGUGAGAUGUUAUUUAUGGAUGAGUGACCGGAAUGCCAUUCUGCGAUAUGAUCAUGAAUAAGGGUGCUAGCAUCCGAAGAAGUGAACAGUUAGCUGGAUCCGAAGAAGAGGUACAUCACGCCGUAUGGUGCUCCUCCUAUCACAGCUCUUAUCUAGACAGGUAAGUGUUUUGGAAUUGGCAAAAUGUCGAUAUUCUGUCUCAGUUACACUGCAUUAAAAAUAUUCUGCUGCAGAGUAUAUAUUCUCAAAUAAAAUUGCGUUUUGGUUCACCACUCCUGAAGUGCCUGCGGAUGAAAUCAGUCUCAUAUUGAUAAUAGUGAAUAGCUUCCUCCCUCACAUGGUUGCUACACUUUCAACUUGAUUGCAUCUUUUGUUUACAUUCCUUCUUGGACUACCUUUGAUGUGAGAUUUAUUGAGCAGAUAAAAAUUUGCUGAAGUAAAUAUAUGGAGAUAUAUUUUAUUCUGGUCUCUAUUUUCAAUUUAGAAUUCAAAUGCAAAUUCAUGGAAACUUUCGUAUGCUUCGAAAGAGUGGUAUGAAAACAAAUUCACACCUUAUGCAGUGGUUUCCUUGAGACCAAAGUUAUUGAUUGUGCCCUGAGAAUAUGGGGACCUACUACGAGGGAUGUGAUACCACAUGUAGAGAGUGAUGAUGAUUUUUAAGAGCUUUCAUUUGGAUAAUCUACAGGACAAGGAGAGUACAAUGGUAGGAGUUCAAUACUUUAUAGCAAGAAACCUCUGUUUAUCCUAUUAAGAUGUUGUUCCAUUACGAAAUUUUGGUAAAAAUUCAACCAGAAAACAUCAAAUGUAUACUAUUUCAUCUAGCCUCUGUGAAAUGAGAAUCUGAAGUUCGAUCUUCUAACAUGACCUUUGUUUCGUACAUGCACUAUUUAUUGACAUGCCAAAGCGGAUGAGAUAUUCAGGCUAUAGGUUUCCUGUCAUAAAAGGAUAUUUUGCUAUCCAUAUCCUUAUUGUGCAUCUGUUUUUCUUAAUUGUUUGGUAAGUACUAUAUUGCAAAAAGAAUUUGAUUUUGUAGCAUGCACGAGUUUUACUAUGGAUAUGUAGAAAUAUAUAUCUGUUGUAACUUUUCAUCUUUCUAGGACAAUAUGCUUGUAUAGUUGUAUUGAUCAUUUUCUGUCUUCUCCCUAUUUCCCACAUGGAAUGCAAUAUAAGAGAUCUUGAAUUAUCUUGAAAUAAGAAAUGACUGCUGCAAUUAACUUUUGUCGAAGCAUAUCUGUUGACGUUUGCCUCUUCUCCCUUUUAGGGGUUGUGAUCUACACCAUGUAUGAAAAAGUAUGGUAAGCAGUCAAGCAUGGAUGUGGAUACUACAUUAGCAGGACACCAAAGAAUUAUAGAGAACAUGCGAAGAUGUGGUGCAAUAUGUUCCAUCAUACUGUCUUUCACCAAUUGGCAUGCUUGUUUUUACCAAUACAUUGAAAGUGUAGAUGUCAUAUGAAAGGGAAGCAACAAGGCUGAAUAACCUAAUUGUAAUUAGGGUCGACAACGUCAAAAAUUUGGACAAAGCUGAAAUUAAUCGAUGCUGAGUUUGUCAAAGCAUGGUUGAAAGUUGUAAUGUUAUUUUGUAACUACGUGCAUGUAUUUAGUUAAAAUUUAUAUA
Lolium perenne is the source of this 1935-nucleotide long non-coding RNA. RefSeq lists it as uncharacterized. The record is from RefSeq and is a predicted model, not a curated record. NCBI's taxonomy places the organism in Eukaryota, Viridiplantae, Streptophyta, Magnoliopsida, Poales, Poaceae.